UACUGAGGCUGAUGGGGUUUUGUUUACUUUUCUGAUGAGAUGCCGAUUUACCUGUUUUGGAGAACCACUUACUCUGUGUUCUCUGGGUGUGGUUUCACUGUUGCAGAACAGAAUUGGAGGCAUGAAUGAGUCCAGAGCAGAUGCGUGCAACUGAGCAAACCAUUUUGCCAUUGCUCUUCCUUGGAAUGAUAUUCCACAUGCCGGGAUUUCAAAUGAGUUUAAUACACAUUUUCUUGAUUAAUGGAAAAUGGCAGAGUGUAGGAGACUGAAACAGUUCGUGCUUUGCUUGAUUAAUUAAUAAGGGACUCUCUUUUCCCAGCUUCGACUCAUUAUGCUAAUGAAGUGUCAUCAAUUAAGGCUUUCCCUUGAUUAUUGAAUCUGUCAGGUAGCGCUCAGUGAAAAUGCUGCAUUCCUUUGCUGUCUGGGUGGAAUUGCCAUUAUAGCUUUUUAUGAACUGCUCCUUCCAUUAGCUGCUGUUUGUUCUAUUUUCUCAUUAUUGUGUCCUUUUUUUUUUUUGACCUCAAGAAAGGUGAUUAUGGAAACCUUGGAAUGAACUGGAAAAUGUUAUCUCUGGGAAUGUGGAUAAAGAAAAUGUAGUAACAGAAAUAUAUACACCAUUCUUCAUUCAGAACUCACUUGUAAUUAUUAAUGAUAUAGUAAAAAAUGAAUCAAAAGAAUACGGUGAACUUUCUGAAGUAAGUCUUUGACAUUAGAUUAGAUAAACAGUUCAGAAAUAAGUGGUCAUUAACAAUUUCUCACCCUACUAUUCAAAUUAAACUUUGAGAGAAAGGGUUUUUCCUAAGGGAAAUAUCCUGAGAACAAAAGAGUGUGUAUUUAAAUAUUUUAUUAUCUUCAUGUAAAGUUCUAAUUUGUUGACAAAUAUUACUUGGAUUUGGGUCUGAGGAAAGGUGACAAAAUGUAAAAAGAAUAGAAUAUAACCAAGUACUGCCUCUAGGUUAAGUUUAGGAAACAAACAUUUUUAUGUCUUAGUGGCCUUUGCUCUUCAGCACUGAAGAUGAGGCCUUUGGUAUGAAUGAAUUCUGGGUACUCAUGUUGCUGAAUCCACUCAUUAGGGAACGUCGUACUUUAAGUUAGGUAGUACCCAUUAAUGAGUGACUAUUAAGCCAUCUAUAAACGUUGUAAGUAAUGAAAGACCUCAGUAAUGCAUUUACAAUCACCCAUUCCAGCUCUGUUUUGGUAACUGACAUCUUGAGGGAACAAGAGUAAUGGAUUUGUCUAAUUUUCUCAUUUCACUUAACCUAAAGUAAGAAACAGUUUUAUAGUUUUAUGAAACAUCUCUGGCCUUGGGGGAAAAAUUUAAACCAGUAGGUGUCAUCUGUUUAAUUAAUCCAUCAAUGUCUCAGUUUCCCUAACGGUAGAAUGAGGAGAUAAUGUUCAUUCAUGGGUAGUUUCCUAGAGAUUUGGGGUAUAAAUAAAUGGGAAAGAAAAUGGCACACUUUACUACUUGCUUUUAGGGAACACAUUUAUAUUCUGGUGUUGUGGGUUUUAAAAUUAGAGGAAGACAUUUGAUAGAGUUUAUUGCAGAGUGUAUUGAUGCUUAGUUACCCACAUCAGUUAUACUAAAGUUUAAUUCUCUUUGCAGAGAGCAUUCUUUUUCUCUGCUUUCAGGAAUAAUGUUUCCACUUCAGUGGAACUCUACAUGUGCUGUCUUCGGGUCACAGCUUUUAACUCUCUCCUGUGUCCCAAACCUGCAACAGUGCUGAGGGAAGACCGAUUCAUAAAGAGAAUGAAGUAUGCAGCUGAGCAGAAGCAGUAUUGACCGCCUCAACAUGGAGUACCUGUAUUAUCUUCUCAGAUUCUGAUGCCUUUCUUCAUGACUGCAAGCUCUCCAACAGUUGUCUGAUGAGGAAUCCAAGAAAUAUUUUUUAUCUCAGUCAAACCUCAUCAGUACCAUCAUAUCUGACUCCUCAAGAAUUCCUCCUUCUUCACUUACAAGCCCCGAUGCUAGGAAGAUAUGAGAGUUCUUUGGAACUGUCUUAAGUCACCAACCAAAACUGGAUCAUUCAG
This is a long non-coding RNA of Acinonyx jubatus (cheetah), 2028 nucleotides long. RefSeq lists it as uncharacterized. The record is from RefSeq and is a predicted model, not a curated record. The transcript has 3 exons. NCBI's taxonomy places the organism in Eukaryota, Metazoa, Chordata, Mammalia, Carnivora, Felidae.